CAGGCCUAACACAUGCAAGUCGAACGGUAACAGGUCUUCGGAUGCUGACGAGUGGCGAACGGGUGAGUAAUACAUCGGAACGUGCCCGAUCGUGGGGGAUAACGAGGCGAAAGCUUUGCUAAUACCGCAUACGAUCUACGGAUGAAAGCGGGGGAUCUUCGGACCUCGCGCGGACGGAGCGGCCGAUGGCAGAUUAGGUAGUUGGUGGGAUAAAAGCUUACCAAGCCGACGAUCUGUAGCUGGUCUGAGAGGAUGAUCAGCCACACUGGGACUGAGACACGGCCCAGACUCCUACGGGAGGCAGCAGUGGGGAAUUUUGGACAAUGGGCGAAAGCCUGAUCCAGCCAUGCCGCGUGCAGGAUGAAGGCCUUCGGGUUGUAAACUGCUUUUGUACGGAACGAAAAGCCUCUUUCUAAUAAAGAGGGGUCAUGACGGUACCGUAAGAAUAAGCACCGGCUAACUACGUGCCAGCAGCCGCGGUAAUACGUAGGGUGCAAGCGUUAAUCGGAAUUACUGGGCGUAAAGCGUGCGCAGGCGGUUUUGUAAGACAGAGGUGAAAUCCCCGGGCUCAACCUGGGAACUGCCUUUGUGACUGCAAGGCUGGAGUGCGGCAGAGGGGGAUGGAAUUCCGCGUGUAGCAGUGAAAUGC
This 649-nucleotide ribosomal RNA is filed under the name uncultured bacterium. RNAcentral describes it as "bacterial SSU rRNA". It matches the Rfam family "Bacterial small subunit ribosomal RNA", at positions 43 to 689 of the family's 1533-position model. The record is from RNAcentral.